GAUGAACGCUGGCGGCGUGCCUAAUACAUGCAAGUCGAGCGAACGGACGAGGAGCUUGCUUCUCUGAUGUUAGCGGCGGACGGGUGAGUAACACGUGGAUAACCUACCUAUAAGACUGGGAUAACUUCGGGAAACCGUAGCUAAUACCGGAUAAUAUUUUGAACCGCAUGGUUCAAAAGUGAAAGACGGUCUUGCUGUCACUUAUAGAUGGAUCCGCGCUGCAUUAGCUAGUUGGUAAGGUAACGGCUUACCAAGGCAACGAUGCAUAGCCGACCUGAGAGGGUGAUCGGCCACACUGGAACUGAGACACGGUCCAGACUCCUACGGGAGGCAGCAGUAGGGAAUCUUCCGCAAUGGGCGAAAGCCUGACGGAGCAACGCCGCGUGAGCGAUGAAGGUCUUCGGAUCGUAAAACUCUGUUAUUAGGGAAGAACAUAUGUGUAAGUAACUGUGCACAUCUUGACGGUACCUAAUCAGAAAGCCACGGCUAACUACGUG
This 497-nucleotide ribosomal RNA is filed under the name uncultured bacterium. Its description in RNAcentral is "partial 16S ribosomal RNA". It matches the Rfam family "Bacterial small subunit ribosomal RNA", at positions 28 to 507 of the family's 1533-position model. The record is from RNAcentral.